UCAAAGGCUGUGAAAAGAAGAGUAGAUUUAUUUUUACGUGGACAGAGAGCCCUUUUAUUGCUGAAAGAGGGUCACGGAAAAUUAUCGAAGAUGGUCUUGGAGCUUCGCACCGAAUGGGAGACCUUUAGGCUGCGACGGGAACACCCGUUAUCAUGAUAACCUGUAAUAAGUCCAAUAUAGACGGUCUGAAAGGGCAAGUUGGAUCAGCAGGAAAGAGGGCCCUAUCAGGGCUGAAUUAAAGUGGUACCGCGGGAAUAUGUUCUCGUCUUUAAA
Molecule: non-coding RNA, 273 nt
Filed under: Anaerocolumna xylanovorans
Lineage: Bacteria; Bacillati; Bacillota; Clostridia; Lachnospirales; Lachnospiraceae
Description: T-box sequence
Rfam family: T-box leader
About the family: Uncharged tRNA acts as the effector for transcription antitermination of genes in the T-box leader family. T-boxes are found upstream of many aminoacyl-tRNA synthetase genes and some amino acid biosynthetic genes usually in Gram-positive bacteria. The anticodon of a specific tRNA base pairs to a specifier sequence within the T-box motif, and the NCCA acceptor tail of the tRNA base pairs to a conserved bulge in the T-box antiterminator hairpin.
Source: RNAcentral